Molecule: ribosomal RNA, 2903 nt
Filed under: human gut metagenome
Description: bacterial LSU rRNA
Rfam family: Bacterial large subunit ribosomal RNA
Source: RNAcentral
UUAAGCGACUAAGCGUACACGGUGGAUGCCCUGGCAGUCAGAGGCGAUGAAGGACGUGCUAAUCUGCGAUAAGCGUCGGUAAGGUGAUAUGAACCGUUAUAACCGGCGAUUUCCGAAUGGGGAAACCCAGUGUGAUUCGUCACACUAUCAUUAACUGAAUCCAUAGGUUAAUGAGGCGAACCGGGGGAACUGAAACAUCUAAGUACCCCGAGGAAAAGAAAUCAACCGAGAUUCCCCCAGUAGCGGCGAGCGAACGGGGAGCAGCCCAGAGCCUGAAUCAGUGUGUGUGUUAGUGGAAGCGUCUGGAAAGGCGCGCGAUACAGGGUGACAGCCCCGUACACAAAAAUGCACAUGCUGUGAGCUCGAUGAGUAGGGCGGGACACGUGGUAUCCUGUCUGAAUAUGGGGGGACCAUCCUCCAAGGCUAAAUACUCCUGACUGACCGAUAGUGAACCAGUACCGUGAGGGAAAGGCGAAAAGAACCCCGGCGAGGGGAGUGAAAAAGAACCUGAAACCGUGUACGUACAAGCAGUGGGAGCCUCUUUAUGGGGUGACUGCGUACCUUUUGUAUAAUGGGUCAGCGACUUAUAUUCUGUAGCAAGGUUAACCGAAUAGGGGAGCCGAAGGGAAACCGAGUCUUAACUGGGCGUUAAGUUGCAGGGUAUAGACCCGAAACCCGGUGAUCUAGCCAUGGGCAGGUUGAAGGUUGGGUAACACUAACUGGAGGACCGAACCGACUAAUGUUGAAAAAUUAGCGGAUGACUUGUGGCUGGGGGGGAAAGGCCAAUCAAACCGGGAGAUAGCUGGUUCUCCCCGAAAGCUAUUUAGGUAGCGCCUCGUGAAUUCAUCUCCGGGGGUAGAGCACUGUUUCGGCAAGGGGGUCAUCCCGACUUACCAACCCGAUGCAAACUGCGAAUACCGGAGAAUGUUAUCACGGGAGACACACGGCGGGUGCUAACGUCCGUCGUGAAGAGGGAAACAACCCAGACCGCCAGCUAAGGUCCCAAAGUCAUGGUUAAGUGGGAAACGAUGUGGGAAGGCCCAGACAGCCAGGAUGUUGGCUUAGAAGCAGCCAUCAUUUAAAGAAAGCGUAAUAGCUCACUGGUCGAGUCGGCCUGCGCGGAAGAUGUAACGGGGCUAAACCAUGCACCGAAGCUGCGGCAGCGACGCUUAUGCGUUGUUGGGUAGGGGAGCGUUCUGUAAGCCUGCGAAGGUGUACUGUGAGGUAUGCUGGAGGUAUCAGAAGUGCGAAUGCUGACAUAAGUAACGAUAAAGCGGGUGAAAAGCCCGCUCGCCGGAAGACCAAGGGUUCCUGUCCAACGUUAAUCGGGGCAGGGUGAGUCGACCCCUAAGGCGAGGCCGAAAGGCGUAGUCGAUGGGAAACAGGUUAAUAUUCCUGUACUUGGUGUUACUGCGAAGGGGGGACGGAGAAGGCUAUGUUGGCCGGGCGACGGUUGUCCCGGUUUAAGCGUGUAGGCUGGUUUUCCAGGCAAAUCCGGAAAAUCAAGGCUGAGGCGUGAUGACGAGGCACUACGGUGCUGAAGCAACAAAUGCCCUGCUUCCAGGAAAAGCCUCUAAGCAUCAGGUAACAUCAAAUCGUACCCCAAACCGACACAGGUGGUCAGGUAGAGAAUACCAAGGCGCUUGAGAGAACUCGGGUGAAGGAACUAGGCAAAAUGGUGCCGUAACUUCGGGAGAAGGCACGCUGAUAUGUAGGUGAAGUCCCUCGCGGAUGGAGCUGAAAUCAGUCGAAGAUACCAGCUGGCUGCAACUGUUUAUUAAAAACACAGCACUGUGCAAACACGAAAGUGGACGUAUACGGUGUGACGCCUGCCCGGUGCCGGAAGGUUAAUUGAUGGGGUUAGCGGUAACGCGAAGCUCUUGAUCGAAGCCCCGGUAAACGGCGGCCGUAACUAUAACGGUCCUAAGGUAGCGAAAUUCCUUGUCGGGUAAGUUCCGACCUGCACGAAUGGCGUAAUGAUGGCCAGGCUGUCUCCACCCGAGACUCAGUGAAAUUGAACUCGCUGUGAAGAUGCAGUGUACCCGCGGCAAGACGGAAAGACCCCGUGAACCUUUACUAUAGCUUGACACUGAACAUUGAGCCUUGAUGUGUAGGAUAGGUGGGAGGCUUUGAAGUGUGGACGCCAGUCUGCAUGGAGCCGACCUUGAAAUACCACCCUUUAAUGUUUGAUGUUCUAACGUUGGCCCCUGAUCGGGGUUGCGGACAGUGUCUGGUGGGUAGUUUGACUGGGGCGGUCUCCUCCUAAAGAGUAACGGAGGAGCACGAAGGUUGGCUAAUCCUGGUCGGACAUCAGGAGGUUAGUGCAAUGGCAUAAGCCAGCUUGACUGCGAGCGUGACGGCGCGAGCAGGUGCGAAAGCAGGUCAUAGUGAUCCGGUGGUUCUGAAUGGAAGGGCCAUCGCUCAACGGAUAAAAGGUACUCCGGGGAUAACAGGCUGAUACCGCCCAAGAGUUCAUAUCGACGGCGGUGUUUGGCACCUCGAUGUCGGCUCAUCACAUCCUGGGGCUGAAGUAGGUCCCAAGGGUAUGGCUGUUCGCCAUUUAAAGUGGUACGCGAGCUGGGUUUAGAACGUCGUGAGACAGUUCGGUCCCUAUCUGCCGUGGGCGCUGGAGAACUGAGGGGGGCUGCUCCUAGUACGAGAGGACCGGAGUGGACGCAUCACUGGUGUUCGGGUUGUCAUGCCAAUGGCACUGCCCGGUAGCUAAAUGCGGAAGAGAUAAGUGCUGAAAGCAUCUAAGCACGAAACUUGCCCCGAGAUGAGUUCUCCCUGACUCCCUGAGAGUCCUGAAGGAACGUUGAAGACGACGACGUUGAUAGGCCGGGUGUGUAAGCGCAGCGAUGCGUUGAGCUAACCGGUACUAAUGAACCGUGAGGCUUAACCUU